UUGGUUCAAUGAAGAAUCUUUGUUGAAGCUGAUUUCUGUAUUUCGUAAAAUCCUUGAUGCGAGUGCGUUGAUCGAAUCAGGUGACGGUGAAACCCGCGGUGGCGGCGUCCUCUGGGCGGUCUGGUGGUACAAAAUCCCUACGAUCAGUGCAGUCGUUGAGUUUAGCUGCAGGACUGAGCCUGUCAAUAUGCUGUUUGUGCACAGCCUGCUUUGUUUCUUUUCUUGAUCAUGAAAAAUUUACAAGAGCUAGCUACACUUCAAUCCAAUGCAGUGUCGAUUAUCCAUUGUUUGCUCCUUCAUUCAUUGUCUUAGAUACCAUAGCAGAUUGUACGUUGUUUCAAAUUCGAAGUCGAUCCUUCUAAAGAUGUUUGUUUGCCAUCCAAGCUGAAAUUAGUUGUAAUACUUGGGAAUUUUUCUGCUAUGUUUCUUUUACCAUUGUUUUGUAUGACUAUAUACCACAUACUCUACUGUAAGCUCCCAAUUCCCAUUUCGAGAUUCUUCAAAGGAGUUACCGUGUAUGCUAGAUUUUGUACUCCGGGGUUUGUUUCCAUUAUGUUUGUUGAAAUUCCAGGAGUUGUUUGGAGGAUCAAAGCUAACUGACUCCUCUGCUAUUUUCAGUUCGGAGUUUAAUGGAAAGCUAACAUUAGUUUGUU
Molecule: non-coding RNA, 653 nt
Organism: Cucurbita pepo subsp. pepo (vegetable marrow)
Lineage: Eukaryota; Viridiplantae; Streptophyta; Magnoliopsida; Cucurbitales; Cucurbitaceae
Source: RefSeq, a predicted model, not a curated record